CGCUGCCGGGGGAAGGAGAGCCGCGGGAUGGGGCCGGGAGCGGCGGGGCCGGCUCCGUUCGGACGCUCCGCUGCCCUCCGAGUGUUCGCCCACGGCAGCCCAACACCCCCCCGCUCUCGGAUGGUCCGCGGAACCCGCGCACCGCUGGGAGAGAAGGGGGGGUCGCAAUGCUUUGGGUCACUCGGCACACGCGGGUCGGUGUGCGAUAGCGGGCGGAUAAUGAAUUUGAUGCUAGGGGUUGAAAUUGCUUUUACUGGUAAAAAAAUUAUUUUAGGUGAUGCUGCGUUCCGGUAUGUGCGUUAAGCCGCGGUAAUGCUUUGUCUCGGGCACACCUCAGCCUUCUAGGAACAGGGGCAGGACAGCCUGCAUGCGGGUGAGCUUAGCUGCAAACCACGCGGGGAGGCACCGCCAGCCGCUGAGUGACGAGGAGCUGGCUGCCUGUAUCCGCAGCACGGCUGUCACGGCUCGCGCUGGUCACCAUGGAAGGAACUGUAUUGUGUUUAGAACCGGAGGGACCGAACCUGGGGACUUUCGGUACCACCCCACUGCCGUCCUGGCGGCUGCUUUCAGUGCAGACAAUGAACCCACGUCUUAGCCCAGAGAAGGGACAGGAGCGGCUCGGUUCAUUAGAUAGCUUGCAUUCUUUCUGCCAGUUGAGGCAAUUGUGAUUAUUUAUUUUAUACUGUCCAAGAAUAUCUUAGAAAGUUAGCAAAACAUAUGGAUGUGCGCAGAGCGGCUCCGGUUCCCUCUCUAAUAAAUAGCAGCAGCCUCGUUGCCUUUAGCACAGCCAGCGCCGGUCACGUCGCUGCUUACAGCCUAAACACGCAGAGAAGGAGAGCGGUGGGAGGAAGGAGAUAAGCCUGGGAAGGAAGAGGGCAACGGCAGAGGUCCAGGUUUGAUUAAAGGGAAAAUCUGGUGUUUCCUUUUCUUUCCACUAAGUUUGUAAGCGGUGUCUGAAAUUCACCGGUGGGAGCUGAACGCGCUAUGAGUUGUUUGGGUCUCAUCAGCAGGGACACAAAUGUGAGCGGUGACUGCGUUCAGUGCUCACCCUGCUGCCACAGAACAGCACAGGGAGAGCAGCCCUCACACUGAGCGGUUCUGCUUGGGUUCUGACUGCGGUUCUUCCAUGUCUGGUCUGACUUCAGUGAAACUGCAGAAGAACAGUUCAGUUCCAUCCCAAAAACAAAA
This is a non-coding RNA of Coturnix japonica (Japanese quail), 1188 nucleotides long. NCBI's taxonomy places the organism in Eukaryota, Metazoa, Chordata, Aves, Galliformes, Phasianidae. The record is from RefSeq and is a predicted model, not a curated record.